Molecule: long non-coding RNA, 1104 nt
Organism: Hippoglossus stenolepis (Pacific halibut)
Lineage: Eukaryota; Metazoa; Chordata; Actinopteri; Pleuronectiformes; Pleuronectidae
Exons: 2
Source: RefSeq, a predicted model, not a curated record
GAGCCGGGGAGCCAUGCCGGAGCCCAGCGUCGCGCAAGGAGGAGAUGCUACAGACCUGUCCCGUCCAUCGUCAUGGGUGAUGUAAGAUCUACCCAAUAAGAUGGAAUAGUUAGCGGCUUUCACCAGCCAUGAGAGGGACUACCGGCGGUGAAGCAUCAUGCUGUUUACGGAGACAUGGCUAAUCACAACACCACCAGACACGGUCACCACAGUGGACAGAUUCAAGCUAAUACGGGAGGACAGUGGAGAGAGGUCGGUCACUUGUGAAGACCAUCAUCAUUUCCCCCCGAACGGAUAACAAAAUAGCAGAAGAAGCAGAUUUGCGGGCUGACCGGCACGGAGAAAUGCGCUUCCGGUGUGAACAGCUCGCAUAAGAAUGUUCGCUUCGCGCCGCUUCUGCCUCCAGUGUGUCCCUGGCGUAGCCAGGCCGGAGGCACUGACUCUGAGUGGAGCAUGUGCGAGGCGCCUGACCCUACAGUAGAUUUUUUUUUAUGGGUCAAUGCAGUUCACUCUCUUGAUUAUUUGAGAGAGAAAUACGGACAUUCGUCCGUCAAUCAUAUAAACAGUAAUAUGAGAGUAAUUAGAGCAAAAACAUGGAAGUUACAUCUACUUGAAGACUCUUGGCAAGUCAUCAAGAUUCACCGCCAUGCCAAGGACAUGCCCCCUGAUGAAAACUCACAAGUUUGACUCCUGACCAAAUUUCACAUGUAUCGCGUGUUUCACAUGAAAUUUUUUCUGGCGAAUAAUCGAAAUUCGCCGCCACGGCCCCCGAAGAAAACUCAUAGUUAACAUAACUUUUGAUCAGAAAGUGUUUAACAUCAAUGUUGUAAAUAUUGUAACUUUGUGAAUUUGUUCAGCUAAACGCAGCAUCUAUUGCACUUCUGCCUGUCCUGGGAGAUGGAUCGCUCACAUGUGGCUCUCUGAAGUUUCUGCGUUUUUCUCCCAAUAAUGUUUUUUUGGGGUAGAUUUUCUUUUCUCUGAGCCAAAUGUGAUUUGUGAAUGUGUGCUAUACAAAUUGGAUUUCAUUUAUUGAUUCUAUGUUGAACUCGCUUCGUAGUACAGGUACCAGAAAAAAAAUAAAAAUAAAAGAUAAUUUCUAAUUUC